Molecule: ribosomal RNA, 1478 nt
Filed under: Bacillus pumilus
Lineage: Bacteria; Bacillati; Bacillota; Bacilli; Caryophanales; Bacillaceae
Description: bacterial SSU rRNA
Rfam family: Bacterial small subunit ribosomal RNA
Source: RNAcentral
ACGAACGCUGGCGGCGUGCCUAAUACAUGCAAGUCGAGCGGACAGAAGGGAGCUUGCUCCCGGAUGUUAGCGGCGGACGGGUGAGUAACACGUGGGUAACCUGCCUGUAAGACUGGGAUAACUCCGGGAAACCGGAGCUAAUACCGGAUAGUUCCUUGAACCGCAUGGUUCAAGGAUGAAAGACGGUUUCGGCUGUCACUUACAGAUGGACCCGCGGCGCAUUAGCUAGUUGGUGGGGUAAUGGCUCACCAAGGCGACGAUGCGUAGCCGACCUGAGAGGGUGAUCGGCCACACUGGGACUGAGACACGGCCCAGACUCCUACGGGAGGCAGCAGUAGGGAAUCUUCCGCAAUGGACGAAAGUCUGACGGAGCAACGCCGCGUGAGUGAUGAAGGUUUUCGGAUCGUAAAGCUCUGUUGUUAGGGAAGAACAAGUGCGAGAGUAACUGCUCGCACCUUGACGGUACCUAACCAGAAAGCCACGGCUAACUACGUGCCAGCAGCCGCGGUAAUACGUAGGUGGCAAGCGUUGUCCGGAAUUAUUGGGCGUAAAGGGCUCGCAGGCGGUUUCUUAAGUCUGAUGUGAAAGCCCCCGGCUCAACCGGGGAGGGUCAUUGGAAACUGGGAAACUUGAGUGCAGAAGAGGAGAGUGGAAUUCCACGUGUAGCGGUGAAAUGCGUAGAGAUGUGGAGGAACACCAGUGGCGAAGGCGACUCUCUGGUCUGUAACUGACGCUGAGGAGCGAAAGCGUGGGGAGCGAACAGGAUUAGAUACCCUGGUAGUCCACGCCGUAAACGAUGAGUGCUAAGUGUUAGGGGGUUUCCGCCCCUUAGUGCUGCAGCUAACGCAUUAAGCACUCCGCCUGGGGAGUACGGUCGCAAGACUGAAACUCAAAGGAAUUGACGGGGGCCCGCACAAGCGGUGGAGCAUGUGGUUUAAUUCGAAGCAACGCGAAGAACCUUACCAGGUCUUGACAUCCUCUGACAACCCUAGAGAUAGGGCUUUCCCUUCGGGGACAGAGUGACAGGUGGUGCAUGGUUGUCGUCAGCUCGUGUCGUGAGAUGUUGGGUUAAGUCCCGCAACGAGCGCAACCCUUGAUCUUAGUUGCCAGCAUUCAGUUGGGCACUCUAAGGUGACUGCCGGUGACAAACCGGAGGAAGGUGGGGAUGACGUCAAAUCAUCAUGCCCCUUAUGACCUGGGCUACACACGUGCUACAAUGGACAGAACAAAGGGCUGCAAGACCGCAAGGUUUAGCCAAUCCCAUAAAUCUGUUCUCAGUUCGGAUCGCAGUCUGCAACUCGACUGCGUGAAGCUGGAAUCGCUAGUAAUCGCGGAUCAGCAUGCCGCGGUGACUGCGUGAAGCUGGAAUCGCUAGUAAUCGCGGAUCAGCAUGCCGCGGUGCAACACCCGAAGUCGGUGAGGUAACCUUUAUGGAGCCAGCCGCCGAAGGUGGGGCAGAUGAUUGGGGUGAAGUCGUA